GGUUAGAUGGUGUAGUGGUCACACCUCCCAGCACAUAUGGGAUGACCCAGGUUCAAUCCCCAGUCUGGCCA
This 71-nucleotide transfer RNA is filed under the name Dichomitus squalens LYAD-421 SS1. RNAcentral describes it as "tRNA-OTHER". It matches the Rfam family "tRNA". Rfam says of the family: Transfer RNA (tRNA) molecules are approximately 80 nucleotides in length. Their secondary structure includes four short double-helical elements and three loops (D, anti-codon, and T loops). The record is from RNAcentral. Lineage: Eukaryota; Fungi; Basidiomycota; Agaricomycetes; Polyporales; Polyporaceae.